AGUCGGGUCCUGUGCAAGGCGGUCCCGCAAAUCCCGUCAGGUCCGGAAGGAAGCAGCGGUAGCGGAUCUACCCCUGUGCCACGGGGCAGCCCGGCUGUC
RNAcentral lists this signal recognition particle RNA (99 nucleotides) under Deltaproteobacteria bacterium RIFCSPLOWO2_12_FULL_60_19. RNAcentral's name for it is "signal recognition particle sRNA small type". It matches the Rfam family "Bacterial small signal recognition particle RNA". From Rfam's summary of the family: The signal recognition particle (SRP) is a universally conserved ribonucleoprotein involved in the co-translational targeting of proteins to membranes. Archaeal SRP consists of a 7S RNA and homologues of the eukaryotic SRP19 and SRP54 proteins. In most bacteria, the SRP consists of a 4.5S RNA and the Ffh protein (a homologue of the eukaryotic SRP54 protein). Lineage: Bacteria; Deltaproteobacteria. The record is from RNAcentral.